GAUGAACGCUGACAGAAUGCUUAACACAUGCAAGUCUACUUGAAUUCACUUCGGUGAUAGUAAGGUGGCGGACGGGUGAGUAACACGUAAAGAACUUGCCUUACAGUCUGGGACAACUAUUGGAAACGAUAGCUAAUACCGGAUAUUAUGCGAGAGUCGCAUGGCUCUUGUAUGAAAGCUAUAUGCGCUGUAAGAGAGCUUUGCGUCCCAUUAGCUAGUUGGUGAGGUAACGGCUCACCAAGGCCACGAUGGGUAGCCGGCCUGAGAGGGUGAACGGCCACAAGGGGACUGAGACACGGCCCUUACUCCUACGGGAGGCAGCAGUGGGGAAUAUUGGACAAUGGACCCAAAAGUCUGAUCCAGCAAUUCUGUGUGCACGAUGACGGUCUUAGGAUUGUAAAGUGCUUUCAAUUGGGAAGAAAAAAAUGACGGUACCAAUAGAAGAAGCGACGGCUAAAUACGUGCCAGCAGCCGCGGUAAUACGUAUGUCGCAAGCGUUAUCCGGAUUUAUUGGGCGUAAAGCGCGUCUAGGUGGUUUGGUAAGUCUGAUGUGAAAAUGCGGGGCUCAACUCCGUAUUGCGUUGGAAACUGCCUAACUAGAGUAUCGGAGAGGUGGGCGGAACUACAAGUGUAGAGGUGAAAUUCGUAGAUAUUUGUAGGAAUGCCGAUAGAGAAGUCAGCUCACUGGACGAAUACUGACACUGAAGCGCGAAAGCAUGGGGAGCAAACAGGAUUAGAUACCCUGGUAGUCCAUGCUGUAAACGAUGAUUACUAAGCGUCGGGGGUCGAACCUCGGCACUCAAGCUAACGCGAUAAGUAAUCCGCCUGGGGAGUACGUACGCAAGUAUGAAACUCAAAGGAAUUGACGGGGACCCGCACAAGUGGUGGAGCAUGUGGUUUAAUUCGACGCAACGCGAGGAACCUUACCAGCGUUUGACAUCCUAGGAAUGAGAAAGAGAUUUCUUAGUGCUCCUUCGGGAGAACCUAGAGACAGGUGGUGCAUGGCUGUCGUCAGCCCGUGUCGUGAGAUGUUGGGUUAAGUCCCGCAACGAGCGCAACCCCUAUUGUAUGUUGCCAUCAUUAAGUUGGGCACUCAUGCGAUACUGCCUGCGAUGAGCAGGAGGAAGGUGGGGAUGACGUCAAGUCAUCAUGCCCCUUAUACGCUGGGCUACACACGUGCUACAAUGGGCAGUACAGAGAGAAGCGAAUCUGCGAGGAGGAGCAAAUCUCACAAAGCUGUUCGUAGUUCGGAUUGUACUCUGCAACUCGAGUACAUGAAGUUGGAAUCACUAGUAAUCGCAAAUCAGCUAUGUUGCGGUGAAUACGUUCUCGGGUCU
RNAcentral lists this ribosomal RNA (1337 nucleotides) under uncultured bacterium. Its description in RNAcentral is "bacterial SSU rRNA". It matches the Rfam family "Bacterial small subunit ribosomal RNA", at positions 28 to 1381 of the family's 1533-position model. The record is from RNAcentral.